GAAGCUGCGGCAGCGACGCUUAUGCGUUGUUGGGUAGGGGAGCGUUCUGUAAGCCUGCGAAGGUGUGCUGUGAGGCAUGCUGGAGGUAUCAGAAGUGCGAAUGCUGACAUAAGUAACGAUAAAGCGGGUGAAAAGCCCGCUCGCCGGAAGACCAAGGGUUCCUGUCCAACGUUAAUCGGGGCAGGGUGAGUCGACCCCUAAGGCGAGGCCGAAAGGCGUAGUCGAUGGGAAACAGGUUAAUAUUCCUGUACUUGGUGUUACUGCGAAGGGGGGACGGAGAAGGCUAUGUUGGCCGGGCGACGGUUGUCCCGGUUUAAGCGUGUAGGCUGGUUUUCCAGGCAAAUCCGGAAAAUCAAGGCUGAGGCGUGAUGACGAGGCACUACGGUGCUGAAGCAACAAAUGCCCUGCUUCCAGGAAAAGCCUCUAAGCAUCAGGUAACAUCAAAUCGUACCCCAAACCGACACAGGUGGUCAGGUAGAGAAUACCAAGGCGCUUGAGAGAACUCGGGUGAAGGAACUAGGCAAAAUGGUGCCGUAACUUCGGGAGAAGGCACGCUGAUAUGUAGGUGAAGUCCCUCGCGGAUGGAGCUGAAAUCAGUCGAAGAUACCAGCUGGCUGCAACUGUUUAUUAAAAACACAGCACUGUGCAAACACGAAAGUGGACGUAUACGGUGUGACGCCUGCCCGGUGCCGGAAGGUUAAUUGAUGGGGU
This 711-nucleotide ribosomal RNA is filed under the name Escherichia coli. RNAcentral describes it as "partial 23S ribosomal RNA". It matches the Rfam family "Bacterial large subunit ribosomal RNA", at positions 1196 to 1890 of the family's 2925-position model. Lineage: Bacteria; Pseudomonadati; Pseudomonadota; Gammaproteobacteria; Enterobacterales; Enterobacteriaceae. The record is from RNAcentral.